GACGAACGCUGGCGGCGUGCUUAACACAUGCAAGUCGAACGAUGAAGCCGGAGCUUGCUCUGGUGAAUUAGUGGCGAACGGGUGAGUAACACGUGAGUAACCUGCCCUUGACUCUGGGAUAACUGCUAGAAAUGGUAGCUAAUACCGGAUACGACCCUCGGAGGCAUCUCCAGGGGGUGGAAAGAAUUUCGGUCAAGGAUGGACUCGCGGCCUAUCAGCUAGUUGGUGAGGUAAUGGCUCACCAAGGCGACGACGGGUAGCCGGCCUGAGAGGGUGAGCGGCCACACUGGGACUGAGACACGGCCCAGACGCCUACGGGAGGCAGCAGUGGGGAAUAUUGCACAAGGGGCGCAAGCCUGAUUCAGCAACGCCGCGUGAGGGAUGACGGCCUUCGGGUUGUAAACCUCUUUUAGUAGGGAAGAAGCGAAAGUGACGGUACCUGCAGAAAAAGCACCGGCUAACUACGUGCCAGCCGCCGCCGUAA
Molecule: ribosomal RNA, 484 nt
Filed under: uncultured bacterium
Lineage: Bacteria
Description: partial 16S ribosomal RNA
Rfam family: Bacterial small subunit ribosomal RNA
Source: RNAcentral